GAUGAACGCUGGCGGCGUGCCUAAUACGUGCAAGUCGAGCGAACAGACGAGGAGCUUGCUCCUCUGACGUUAGCGGCGGACGGGUGAGUAACACGUGGAUAACCUACCUAUAAGACUGGGAUAAAUUCGGGAAACCGGAGCUAAUACCGGAUAAUAUAUUGAACCGCAUGGUUCAAUAGUGAAAGACGGUUUUGCUGUCACUUAUAGAUGGAUCCGCGCCGCAUUAGCUAGUUGGUAAGGUAACGGCUUACCAAGGCAACGAUGCGUAGCCGACCUGAGAGGGUGAUCGGCCACACUGGAACUGAGACACGGUCCAGACUCCUACGGGAGGCAGCAGUAGGGAAUCUUCCGCAAUGGGCGAAAGCCUGACGGAGCAACGCCGCGUGAGUGAUGAAGGUCUUCGGAUCGUAAAACUCUGUUAUUAGGGAAGAACAAAUGUGUAAGUAACUAUGCACGUCUUGACGGUACCUAAUCAGAAAGCCACGGCUAACUACGUG
This 497-nucleotide ribosomal RNA is filed under the name uncultured bacterium. Its description in RNAcentral is "partial 16S ribosomal RNA". It matches the Rfam family "Bacterial small subunit ribosomal RNA", at positions 28 to 507 of the family's 1533-position model. The record is from RNAcentral.